This is an RNA transcript of Anopheles merus, 1761 nucleotides long. RefSeq lists it as uncharacterized. NCBI's taxonomy places the organism in Eukaryota, Metazoa, Arthropoda, Insecta, Diptera, Culicidae. The transcript is spliced from 4 exons. The record is from RefSeq and is a predicted model, not a curated record.
AAAUGUAUGCAUGUAUUGGUUGACAUUGCAAGUGCGUCGGCAAAGGAUAAACAAGUUUUUAGAUCCAGAUUAUUGACGAGAGAACCAUCAGCAAUGGCUUCAAGAUCAUCCCAAUAUCGGAAGCGUCGUCGCUUUAUGGAAGAAGUGGAGAGAGAAAUAAACAAUGAUAUCAAUAAUAUGGAGACUUCCUCACCUGUCAUGGUUCCGGCAUCGACGAGCAGGAUGUUCACAGGACUUUCUUCCUUGCAGCAAAGCAACUUUCGAAGGCUACUUUGCUGUCUACUUUAAACUAGACCGCUGCGGGUACCUCGGCAGCGCUGAAACCAACAUCCGUGGCCAAAGCAGCUUGUUUCUCAUCGUUUAUUGGCGAUUCCGUAUCAUCUCCCUGAACCCUGCCUGUUGCUGCUGAAGCGCGCCGUGACCAGCCGCAAUCUGCAGUGACGCUGGUGGGGUUGGAGGAAGUCUGGCUCGAAGCUUCUCUCGACAACGCAUCGUUGCCUCUCGUUGGUUAGCGUUGCGUGGCUCGUUGCGGACGCGCCGAACAGUUUCAGGUUGUGUCUCUUCGUAUUACUCAAUGAUUUGCGACGCCAGGGCAACUCGUUCAUUGUAUCAUGCUCCCUGUAGUUGAACCGUGAUUCGCCUAGAAGCUUCGUAGAUAUGGCUCCAGUUCUCGACCUCGCGACAGGUGAGGUUGGAGGGUGUCCGUCGAAUCGAACCUGAUGAACCAUGGCCGAUAAGCUUCUGGAUUUUGCAGCAAAGCGCGGGCACUCCAACAACACGUGUUCCUCGUCCUCCGAAAUGCCGAUGAUCCACUGUCCUGACCUGUUUAAGCCUGUGCCUGGGCCAUAUGGAAGGUCGUGUCUCUGUGUUAAUGCGUUAAUAGCUGACGGAAGACGAAUUGCAUAGUACUGAUAGCAACUUAGGUGGGAAUGUAGAGUGUAGCUUUAGCUUGGAUGAAGAUACUAUCAAUACUCACAAUGACAGCACUGCAACUGUUGACGAAAAUAAUUUGGAUGAUAUAGAAGAUGAACAGGAAGAUUGUACUGAAGAUUUGUAUGACGCUUAUAACUAUUUGAAUGAUUUUCAAAGUUUGAAAGAAGCUUUAAGAUAUUUGGCAAUAAUGGGUCAUCUUUCUCGCAACUUUCUCAACUUGCUUCUAGCAAUUUUGAGAAAAUUUGGUCAUCCUGAACUUCCUAAAGAUGGUCGUACUUUACUUAAAAUUCCUAAAGUUAGCCAAGAGAUUCAGCAUAUAGCAGGUGGACAAAUGUGGUAUUCAGGGAUAGAAGUUGGCCUUCGAAAUUAUUUUAGGAAUCAUGUACCAGAGAAAAAUAAGUUUUCGCUACAUAUUUUUAUUGAUGGGCUUCCUCUCUUCAAAAGUAGUGCUACACAAUUUUGGCCAAUUCUUUUUAAAGUAAAAGAAAUUCCCGAUUGCCCGGUAAUGAUCGCAGGUGUAUUUGUGGUCAGAAAAAACCGACCGACUUAGAGCCUUAUUUGCGACAGCUCGUAGAUGAAUUAAACAAUUUGCAAGUAAUAGGCAUGCUGUUUGGAGAGAAAGUUGUAAAAAUUUUUGCCAAGGCUUUUGUCACCGAUACCCCUGCGCGGGCCUUUAUAAAAUCGGUAAUGUACUUUCCGGCAAAACAUGGAUGCACGAAGUGUACUCUCGUUGGAGAGUUUGUAAAACCGGAGCGCAAAGUAAUAUUUUGUUCACCACAACCUGCUCCACCACGCACAGAUGAAAGUUUUAGACAAAGACACGAUAUA